Molecule: ribosomal RNA, 492 nt
Filed under: uncultured bacterium
Lineage: Bacteria
Description: partial 16S ribosomal RNA
Rfam family: Bacterial small subunit ribosomal RNA
Source: RNAcentral
AGUGAACGCUGGCGGUAGGCCUAACACAUGCAAGUCGAACGGCAGCACAGUAAGAGCUUGCUCUUACGGGUGGCGAGUGGCGGACGGGUGAGGAAUACAUCGGAAUCUACUUUUUCGUGGGGGAUAACGUAGGGAAACUUACGCUAAUACCGCAUACGACCUACAGGUGAAAGCAGGGGAUCUUCGGACCUUGCGCGAUUGAAUGAGCCGAUGUCGGAUUAGCUAGUUGGCGGGGUAAAGGCCCACCAAGGCGACGAUCCGUAGCUGGUCUGAGAGGAUGAUCAGCCACACUGGAACUGAGACACGGUCCAGACUCCUACGGGAGGCAGCAGUGGGGAAUAUUGGACAAUGGGCGCAAGCCUGAUCCAGCCAUACCGCGUGGGUGAAGAAGGCCUUCGGGUUGUAAAGCCCUUUUGUUGGGAAAGAAAAGCGGCAGGUUAAUACCCCGCUGUUCUGACGGUACCCAAAGAAUAAGCACCGGCUAACUUCGUG